RNAcentral lists this transfer RNA (73 nucleotides) under Salibacteraceae bacterium. Its description in RNAcentral is "tRNA-Lys". It matches the Rfam family "tRNA". Rfam says of the family: Transfer RNA (tRNA) molecules are approximately 80 nucleotides in length. Lineage: Bacteria; Pseudomonadati; Bacteroidota; Flavobacteriia; Flavobacteriales; Salibacteraceae. The record is from RNAcentral.
GAUCUGAUAGCUCAGCUGGUAGAGCAUCUCCCUUUUAAGGAGAGGGUCCAGGGUUCGAGCCCCUGUCAGAUCA